RNAcentral lists this non-coding RNA (46 nucleotides) under Schistosoma mansoni. The record is from RNAcentral. Lineage: Eukaryota; Metazoa; Platyhelminthes; Trematoda; Strigeidida; Schistosomatidae.
GCACUACUGAAGAGUCCCACAAUAGGAUGAAAUCACCGUCCAGUGC